This 253-nucleotide ribosomal RNA is filed under the name uncultured bacterium. Its description in RNAcentral is "partial 16S ribosomal RNA". It matches the Rfam family "Bacterial small subunit ribosomal RNA", at positions 524 to 776 of the family's 1533-position model. The record is from RNAcentral.
UACAGAGGGUGCAAGCGUUGUUCGGAAUUAUUGGGCGUAAAGCGCGUGUAGGCGGCUUGGCAAGUCGGGUGUGAAAUCCCUCAGCUCAACUGAGGAAGUGCGCCCGAAACUGCUUUGCUUGAGUGUCGGAGAGGAUGGCGGAAUUCCCCAAGUAGAGGUGAAAUUCGUAGAUAUGGGGAGGAACACCGGUGGCGAAGGCGGCCAUCUGGACGAUUACUGACGCUGAGACGCGAAAGCGUGGGGAGCAAACAGG